CCUACGGGUGGCAGCAGUGAGGAAUAUUGGUCAAUGGGCGCGAGCCUGAACCAGCCAAGUCGCGUGCGGGAAGACGGUCCUAUGGAUUGUAAACCUCUUUUGUCGGGGGGCAAAAGACGCCACGCGUGGCGUUCCGAGAGUACCCUAAGAAAAAGCAUCGGCUAACUCCGUGCCAGCAGCCGCGGUAAUACGGAGGAUGCGAGCGUUAUCCGGAUUAUUGGGGUUAAAGGGGGCGCAGGCGGAAGAGCAAGUCAGCGGGAAAAUUGCGAGGGUCAACCUCCUCGAGCCGUUGAAACUGGGUUUCUUGAGUGAGUGAGAAGUAUGCGGAAUGCGUGGUGUAGCGGUGAAAUGCAUAGAUAUCACGCAGAACUCCGAUUGCGAAGGCAGCAUACCGGCGCUCAACUGACGCUCAUGCACGAAAGUGUGGGUAUCGAACAGGAUUAGAUACCCCUGUAGUC
RNAcentral lists this ribosomal RNA (458 nucleotides) under uncultured bacterium. Its description in RNAcentral is "partial 16S ribosomal RNA". It matches the Rfam family "Bacterial small subunit ribosomal RNA", at positions 338 to 795 of the family's 1533-position model. The record is from RNAcentral.